UGGCCUACGGGACGCAGCAGUGGGGAAUAUUGGGCAAUGGGCGCAAGCCUGACCCAGCAACGCCGCGUGAAGGAAGAAGGCUUUCGGGUCGUAAACUUCUUUUCUCAGGGACGAAGAAAGUGACGGUACCUGAGGAAUAAGCCACGGCUAACUACGUGCCAGCAGCCGCGGUAAUACGUAGGUGGCAAGCGUUAUCCGGAUUUAUUGGGUGUAAAGGGCGUGUAGGCGGGAGCGCAAGUCAGAUGUGAAUACUCAAGGCUCAACCCUGAGCCUGCAUUUGAACCUGUGUUUCU
Molecule: ribosomal RNA, 293 nt
Filed under: uncultured bacterium
Lineage: Bacteria
Description: partial 16S ribosomal RNA
Rfam family: Bacterial small subunit ribosomal RNA
Source: RNAcentral